This 468-nucleotide ribosomal RNA is filed under the name uncultured bacterium. RNAcentral describes it as "bacterial SSU rRNA". It matches the Rfam family "Bacterial small subunit ribosomal RNA", at positions 29 to 506 of the family's 1533-position model. The record is from RNAcentral.
AUGAACGCUGGCGGCGUGCCUAAUACAUGCAAGUCGAACGAAAAAUUCUUGGUACUUGUAUCGAGAGUUUUUAGUGGCGAACGGGUGAGUAACGCGUUGGUGACCUACCCCAAAGUGGGGGAUAACAGAUCGAAAGGUCUGCUAAUACCUCAUGUUGUCAUCGUUUUUAGAAAUCGAUGAUUAAAGGAGCAAUCCGCUUUGGGAGGGGCCUGCGUCCCAUCAGCUAGUUGGUAGGGUAAUGGCCUACCAAGGCGUCGACGGGUAAGGGACCUGAGAGGGUGGCCCCUCACAAUGGAACUGAAACACGGUCCAUACACCUACGGGUGGCAGCAGUAGGGAAUAUUGCACAAUGGACGAAAGUCUGAUGCAGCAACGCCGCGUGUACGAUGAAGGCCUUCGGGUCGUAAAGUACUUUUCAGGGAGAUGAGAAAGGACAGUACCCCUGGAAUAAGUCUCGGCUAACUACGU